This 497-nucleotide ribosomal RNA is filed under the name uncultured bacterium. Its description in RNAcentral is "partial 16S ribosomal RNA". It matches the Rfam family "Bacterial small subunit ribosomal RNA", at positions 28 to 507 of the family's 1533-position model. The record is from RNAcentral.
GAUGAACGCUGGCGGCGUGCCUAAUACAUGCAAGUCGAGCGAACGGACGAGAAGCUUGCUGCUCUGAUGUUAGCGGCGGACGGGUGAGUAACACGUGGAUAACCCACCUAUAAGACUGGGAUAACUUCGGGAAACCGGAGCUAAUACCGGAUAAUAUUUUGAACCGCAUGGUUCAAAAGUGAAAGACGGUCUUGCUGUCACUUAUAGAUGGAUCCGCGCUGCAUUAGCUAGUUGGUAAGGUAACGGCUUACCAAGGCAACGAUGCAUAGCCGAACUGAGAGAGUGAUCGGCCACACUGGAACGGGGACACGGUCCAGACUCCUGCGGGAGGGAGCAGUAGGGAAUCGUCCGCAGUGGGCGAAAACCUGGCGGAGCAACGCCGCGUGAGUUAUGAAGGUCUUCGGAUCGUAAAACUCGGUUAUUAGGGAAGAACAUAUGUGUAAGGAAAUGUGCACAGCUUGACGGUAACUAAUCAGAAAGCCACGGCUAACUACGUG